GAAUUCGCCCUUAGAGUUUGAUCCUGGCUCAGGACGAACGCUGGCGGCGCGCCUAACACAUGCAAGUCGAACGAGCGAGAGAGAGCUUGCUUUCUCGAGCGAGUGGCGAACGGGUGAGUAACGCGUGAGGAACCUGCCUCAAAGAGGGGGACAACAGUUGGAAACGACUGCUAAUACCGCAUAAGCCCACGACCCGGCAUCGGGUUGAGGGAAAAGGAGCAAUCCGCUUUGAGAUGGCCUCGCGUCCGAUUAGCUAGUUGGUGAGGUAACGGCCCACCAAGGCGACGAUCGGUAGCCGGACUGAGAGGUUGAACGGCCACAUUGGGACUGAGACACGGCCCAGACUCCUACGGGAGGCAGCAGUGGGGAAUAUUGCACAAUGGGGGAAACCCUGAUGCAGCGACGCCGCGUGGAGGAGGAAGGUCUUCGGAUUGUAAACUCCUGUUGUUGAGGAAGAUAAUGACGGUACUCAACAAGGAAGUGACGGCUAACUACGUGCCAGCAGCCGCGGUAAAACGUAGGUCACAAGCGUUGUCCGGAAUUACUGGGUGUAAAGGGAGCGCAGGCGGGAAGACAAGUUGGAAGUGAAAUCCAUGGGCUCAACCCAUGAACUGCUUUCAAAACUGUUUUUCUUGAGUAGUGCAGAGGUAGGCGGAAUUCCCGGUGUAGCGGUGGAAUGCGUAGAUAUCGGGAGGAACACCAGUGGCGAAGGCGGCCUACUGGGCACCAACUGACGCUGAGGCUCGAAAGUGUGGGUAGCAAACAGGAUUAGAUACCCUGGUAGUCCACACUGUAAACGAUGAUUACCAGGUGUUGGAGGAUGACCCCUUCAGAGCGGCAGUUAAACACAAUAAGUAAUCCACCUGGGGGAGUACGACCGCAAGGUUGAAAUUCAAAGGAAUUGACGGGGGCCCGCACAAGCAGUGGAGUAUGUGGUUUAAUUCGACGCAACGCGAAGAACCUUACCAAGUCUUGACAUCCUGCGACGGUGCUGGAAACAGUACUUUCCUUCGGGACGCAGAGACAGGUGGUGCAUGGAAAUCGUCAACUCGUGUCGUGAGAUGUUGGGUUAAGUCCCGCAACGAGCGCAACCCUUAUGGUCAGUUACUACGCAAGAGGACUCUGGCCAGACUGCCGUUGACAAAACGGAGGAAGGUGGGGAUGACGUCAAAUCAUCAUGCCCUUUAUGACUUGGGCUACACACGUACUACAAUGGCGUUAAACAAAGAGAAGCAAGACCGCGAGGUGGAGCAAAACUCAGAAACAACGUCCCAGAUGGGACUGCAGGCUGCAACUCGCCUGCACGAAGUCGGAAUUGCUAGUAAUCGCAGAUCAGCAUGCUGCGCUGAAAAGGUUCCCGGGCCUUGCACUCACCGCCCGUCA
This 1383-nucleotide ribosomal RNA is filed under the name uncultured bacterium. RNAcentral's name for it is "bacterial SSU rRNA". It matches the Rfam family "Bacterial small subunit ribosomal RNA". The record is from RNAcentral.